GAUGAACGCUGGCGGCGUGCCUAAUACAUGCAAGUCGAGCGAACAGAUGAGGAGCUUGCUCCUCUGACGUUAGCGGCGGACGGGUGAGUAACACGUGGAUAACCUACCUAUAAGACUGGGAUAACUUCGGGAAACCGGAGCUAAUACCGGAUAAUAUAUUGAACCGCAUGGUUCAAUAGUGAAAGACGGUUUUGCUGUCACUUAUAGAUGGAUCCGCGCCGCAUUAGCUAGUUGGUAAGGUAACGGCUUACCAAGGCAAUGAUGCGUAGCCGACCUGAGAGGGUGAUCGGCCACACUGGAACUGAGACACGGUCCAGACUCCUACGGGAGGCAGCAGUAGGGAAUCUUCCGCAAAGGGCGAAAGCCUGACGGAGCAACGCCGCGUGAGUGAUGAAGGUCUUCGGAUCGUAAAACUCUGUUAUUAGGGAAGAACAAAUGUGUAAGUAACUAUGCACGUCUUGACGGUACCUAAUCAGAAAGCCACGGCUAACUACGUA
This 497-nucleotide ribosomal RNA is filed under the name uncultured bacterium. RNAcentral describes it as "partial 16S ribosomal RNA". It matches the Rfam family "Bacterial small subunit ribosomal RNA", at positions 28 to 507 of the family's 1533-position model. The record is from RNAcentral.